UCAGACGAUGCGUCAUGCAUAUCAAUAAGCGGAGGAAAAGAAACUAACAAGGAUUCCCUUAGUAACGGCGAGUGAAGCGGGAAGAGCUCAAAUUUGAAAUCUUCAAGGGUUUACCUUUACGAAUUGUAGUUUAAAGAAGUGUUUUCUGUUAGAGUUUUGGUAAAAGUUCUUUGGAAUAGGACAUCAUAGAGGGUGAGAAUCCCGUAUUUGACCAGUUAUUUCUAGCUUUGUGAUACACUUUCAAAGAGUCGGAUUGUUUGGGAAUGCAGUCCAAAAUGGGUGGUAAAUUUCAUCUAAAGCUAAAUAUUGGCGAGAGACCGAUAGCGAACAAGUACCGUGAGGGGAAAGAUGAAAAGAACUUUGAAAAGAGAGUUAAACAGUACGUGAAAUUGUCAAAAGGGAAGCGUUUGACACCAGUGUUGUUUUCUCGAAAAUCAAUUAAAAAGAGUUAGAUUUUGUUGUGUAUUGACCUUAACAGCUUGCAUUUCAAUUUUCUUGCUUUUUUUAAUGCACUUUUCGUUUAACAAGUCAACAUCAGUUUCUUUUGUUGUAAAAAGGUCAUUGGAAGGUGGCUUUCUUUUCGGAGAAAGUGUUUAUAGCCUUUGACUCCUGCAAUCGGAGAGACUGAGGUCUGCAGCGUAGAUCCUUCGGGGUUAGAUACAUUUGUGCUAAGUUAUAGCUUUUUAUAGACAACUUGUUGACUAUGAUUAGUCUUGUAGCUUACUCGCUUAUGCUAUUUUACCUACGCUUAGGAUGUUGAGUCGUAGAGCACGCA
This 775-nucleotide ribosomal RNA is filed under the name uncultured Neocallimastigales. Its description in RNAcentral is "partial large subunit ribosomal RNA". It matches the Rfam family "Eukaryotic large subunit ribosomal RNA", at positions 18 to 605 of the family's 3401-position model. Lineage: Eukaryota; Fungi; Neocallimastigomycota; Neocallimastigomycetes; Neocallimastigales. The record is from RNAcentral.